UACGGAGGGUGCAAGCGUUAUCCGGAUUCACUGGGCUUAAAGGGUGCGUAGGCGGGCAGGUAAGUCAGUGGUGAAAUCUUCGAGCUUAACUCGGAAACUGCCGUUGAUACUAUCUGUCUUGAAUACCGUGGAGGUGAGCGGAAUAUGUCAUGUAGCGGUGAAAUGCUUAGAUAUGACAUAGAACACCAAUUGCGAAGGCAGCUCGCUGGACGAAUAUUGACGCUGAGGCACGAAAGCGUGGGGAGCAAACAGG
This 253-nucleotide ribosomal RNA is filed under the name uncultured bacterium. RNAcentral describes it as "partial 16S ribosomal RNA". It matches the Rfam family "Bacterial small subunit ribosomal RNA", at positions 524 to 776 of the family's 1533-position model. The record is from RNAcentral.